AAAUCAUCAUGCCCCUUAUGACCUGGGCUACACACGUGCUACAAUGGUUGGUACAACGGGAUGCUACUUCGCGAGAAGAUGCUAAUCUCUUAAAACCAAUCUCAGUUCGGAUUGUAGGCUGCAACUCGCCUACAUGAAGUCGGAAUCGCUAGUAAUCGCGGAUCAGCAUGCCGCGGUGAAUACGUUCCCGGGCCUUGUACACACCGCCCGUCACACCACGGGAGUUUGCAACACCCGAAGUCGGUGAGGUAACCGUAAGGAGCCAGCCGCCGAAGGUGGGGUAGAUAACUGGGGUGAAGUCGUAACAAGGUAUCCGUACCGGAAGGUGCGGAUGGAUCACCUCCUUUCUAUGGAGA
RNAcentral lists this ribosomal RNA (356 nucleotides) under Brevibacillus laterosporus. RNAcentral's name for it is "bacterial SSU rRNA". It matches the Rfam family "Bacterial small subunit ribosomal RNA", at positions 1187 to 1533 of the family's 1533-position model. Lineage: Bacteria; Bacillati; Bacillota; Bacilli; Caryophanales; Paenibacillaceae. The record is from RNAcentral.